CUGGUACUCCGCGGGGAAGCGCGUGCCAAGCGGGGACGCGCGUGCGAUCCUCGCGUGUGGGUGACACGCGGUGCCCGAGUCCCUGGGAGGGGCGAGGCGGGGCAAGCAGGGUCACUUUUCCUUGCACUGCCUUUGUCCUGCGGGUGCGCGUCCCGCCCAUGUGCAACCGGUUGGGGUUACAAAAUGAGCUCCUGCCCCCCCCCCACGCGCGCGCACUCACACGUGCAGACAUGCACGCGGAUACGCGCGCGCACACGCCCCGGAUUCCGCGGCGGGAUCACGCGAGGAUUCUCGGUUCGUGGCCUUGUCUGCUGCUCCCUGCGCUCCCUUCCGCCACGCAGAUCCCACCGCAUCCGCGGCGACCGAUGCUGGGCGCUCGCUAGCUGGGUUCGCAUCAUGGGCAGCGGCAACUCCUCCGGCCUCGGCAGCGAAGGCAGCUGGGCUUCCCAGCUCCACGGCGGCGCCAGGGGUCCCUUCUGCCCCUGGCACCCACCGGGCAAGUCCUUGGAGAAAGCGGUCACCAACCCACCACGAAAGGCUUCCUAGCAAAAGAAAAACCCCGGGACUGCUGGUGAAGGAGAGUGGGUGUAAGGGCCCAGCUAAGCAACCUCGGGGACCCCAGCUGAGCUCAGGAGAAGCUGUGGGACCCUGGCUCUGGAGGGCGCCCUGGCCUGGCGGGUUGGGGUUCCCGGGCCUGGCAGUGGAGAAGGUGCCCGCUGCAGGCAGCCAAGAAGCCACGGGGCCAAAAAGGAAGCUGCCCGGUGGGCUCCCAUAGGCUGGAUGGAGGCGACUUGUCUUUUUAAGUGGCUCCUCGUGCUGUGUAAUUGUCCAGCUCUUCGGAUCCCUCUGCAGGUGUAGACGCGUCUUCCGGAGCGUGCUGCGUGUGUAGACUCGGGUUUCUGCGGAAGGCCCAUGUCUUGAACCCAGCCACCGAGGAGUAACUAGUUGUCAUGUAAAUGCGCUGGCCUCCCGCUGUCAGGGAGCCCUGCCGAGCCUCUCAUUUGUAACCGAGGGAUUGGGACCUUGUCCUCCCUCCCUCUCAUGGGAACAAGAAAUGGAAGCCCCCAAAGGGUCCCUAGAGCCUCGCACGCUGCCGCCCCUCCUCUCCGCAGCCUUUCUGUCUCUCUUGGCGCCCAACAGGGCGCUCCCUACUGCAAAGCCCAGUGCAGCUCCUGGGCUGAGGGCUCCGCGGUGCAAAGGAUGCAAUCAGGAGGGAACUGGAGAGAUCACAGCAAAAGGCACCGCGGUUCAAAGCAAGGAGAGAAUUUUACAAAAGAGCGGGAGAUCGCCUCUGCGUCGUGCUGCCUGAAGAGGGCGCAGUCCACCCCCCCCACCCCCCAAGGUGCGGGAGACACCCAGGAACCCGGAACUUCCUUCUGCGGACCUCAGUUCAUCCAUCGCUGGAGGCGGUCUUGGCCAGUCAGCCACCCAAACCCAGCUGACAAACAGCCCAGAUGCUCUCCUGAGAUCCCUAGGGGACAUCGGAGGAGGCGGAUCCCCUCAAAGGCUGUUGCUGGACUCCCCGAGGACGCGGACACAGGCACAGGGAGCCCAUCAGGGAGAUGCCAAGCGAGGAGUCCCGGAGAGUGGGGAGCUGCCCUGCCCCAGGCACCCGGGGCCACCCCAGCCUCUGUCAUUGGUGCUCAAGUUCCAGACGCUCCGUGGAGGACAAUGUCCGGCCACCCGUUCCACAGUCUGUGCACAAAGAUAAAGCCUCCUUCAGUGAAGAACAUCCACAGACCCGUGCUUUAUUGGCCCCAUUUGACUCAUGAGGACCUCGGGACUCACACAUUUUGUCUUUAGCUCACUUCUGUACUGAUGGGAAUGAUGACGGCAGGGAGACGGACGCCCAAGGGGUGAGACGGCUUCUUCACGGUCAUCCAGCUGGGACCGGGUGGAACUCCAACAGAACCUAGGUGAUCCAGCCUCAAAGCCUGUGUUCACAGCCAUCACCAGGCCGGUCUGUGUCCAGGCUGGUCUGUGUCCAGGCUGGUCUGUGUCCAGGUGUGUCUGUUCCUUGCACCAGGUAUCUGGGUGACCUGCAUCAGUCUCACUUGCUAGGUCACUUUGGUGCCUGGUGACGCUUGCUGUCUCCGCUCUUUGAAGAAGGCACUGAAGAAUGGAUGCCCCGUCACUGCCGCUGGGCUGUGCAGACAAGUGGAGCUCGCAGCCACCGUGCUGCUCAGCGCCUCUGCUUCAGCUCAGCCUCUAUGGCGUUUAACAUCCCUGGAGGGAGACAUGGGCAUGGCUCCUCUGGGCAAGGGGCCUGGAGCAGGUGACUGCGGCCCCUGAGGAUGACUGGCAGACAGAUACUCAGAUGCCCAUGCCUGGUCCUCCUCUUGUUUCCCAAGUGGUGCCUGCCCACGCUUCUCACCUUUGUGAGCAGAACCCAGAGAUUUCACCCUCCUGGUUGGGCUCAGGGUCAGGAAAUGGUGCUGUACCAUAGGACCUGGGCGAAUAAAGCUUCAGAUUAGAUUGGUA
This is a long non-coding RNA of Cavia porcellus (domestic guinea pig), 2481 nucleotides long. RefSeq lists it as uncharacterized. The record is from RefSeq and is a predicted model, not a curated record. The transcript is spliced from 4 exons. Lineage: Eukaryota; Metazoa; Chordata; Mammalia; Rodentia; Caviidae.